This 1787-nucleotide long non-coding RNA is filed under the name Carassius auratus (goldfish). RNAcentral's name for it is "lncRNA (ENSCARG00000015757.1)". Lineage: Eukaryota; Metazoa; Chordata; Actinopteri; Cypriniformes; Cyprinidae. The record is from RNAcentral.
AUGCACGACAGGGGUAUGAGUACUGACGAGCCCCCGUGGACGGAGGAAGGAGAGGAGUCGGCCGAUCAUCAUUACUACAACAGCAUUCCCGGAAAGAUGCCGCCACCGGGAGGAUUCAUUGACACUAGAUUGACCAAUCAGACGCAAGACGGCUGCCAGGUCUGCCAAUCGAUAAUCACUCGAGAUCAGCUGCUUCUGCUAAUGCAACUAUUGAGUUUCUGUCAAUAUCUCUUGAUGAAUUGUGUUUUCGGUAAAUAAUGAUAGUAAAGAUCAUCCUGUUAUUCUGAGGUUUAGUAGUAUCUACCGCUUUAGAUACAGGAAAUGAAUCGAGAGAGAGGGAACAAAAUAAAUCUGAUAUUAACUGUGAUGUUUGCUUACAUUUUGUUACAAUUCUAUUUUUAUUCUGUUUUGUCUAUCUCAAAACCAAUAGUGCAAAAUACAGAACAAUUCCAAUAUUUCCACCCCAACAUAUAGUAUAUAUUUAUUAAAUUAAAAUAAUAAAAUAAAUAUUACAUUUUGUUAUUAUAUUAAAAUAAAAAAUGCAACACAAAUUUCAAAUUUUCCAUAUAAUACAAACAUAUAAUGUUUAAAAAAAAAUAAGAUUAAAUAAAUAAAUUUAUAUAUAUAUAUAUAUAUAUAUAUAUAUAUAUAUAUAUAUAUAUAUAUAUGUAAAUUUACACAUUAUAUUACGUUUUUUUUUAUCAAAACAAACAUUAUAUUGCAAAUAUUAUAUUUUUAUAUAAUAUUGAAACAAACACCUUUUCCACUCCAACAUUUAUAAGAAUUCAAUUAAAAUGAGAGGUGUAUAUUACAUUUUGUAACUGUCAUGAUUCUGCCCUCGUGUCCUUGAUUUUUCCUAGUCUUGAGGCAGGAUCAUGACAGACCCAUGUUUUGUGUACAAGCGCAUGGCCUUGUCUUUGGGCCAUGUGCUUGUGUUGUCUCGUUCCCUUGCCCCGCCCCCCUUGUUAACCUAGUCGUGUCUUGAUUGUCCUAUCUGUAACACCUGUCGUGUCUUGAUUAGUACCCCUAUUUAGAUCUCCUAGUGUGCUCUGUCUUGCGUCGGUUCAUUCUGUCAGGUAUUGGUAAGGGAGGAACUCAGGUGCAGACAGGGAUUCUCAAACAAAGGGUUUAUUACAAAAAGGGGAAAACAAAACCCACGAGGGGGAAAACACGGAGCAAGGUAAAGACUAAAUAACUAAAACAGGACUGGACUAACAAGAUAAACAAGGACUCUAAAUACUAACUAUAAACAAACACUCACGGUAAUACAAACACUUCUUGUGGAACAAUCACAAUCACAGGUACAAUGAACCGACGCAAGACAGAGCACACUAGGAGAUCUAAAUAGGGGUACUAAUCAAGACACGACAGGUGUUACAGAUAGGACAAUCAAGACACGACUAGGUUAACAAGGGGGGCGGGGCAAGGGAACGAGACAACACAAGCACAUGGCCCAAAGACAAGGCCAUGCGCUUGUACACAAAACAUGGGUCUGUCAUGAUCCUGCCUCAAGACUAGGAAAAAUCAAGGACACGAGGGCAGAAUCAUGACAGUAACAGUAUCGAAAACAAAAACAACUUUCCCACAGUGUAUAGAAUGAUUAAAAUAAAUAAUAUACUUAAAAGUAAUAUUUAUUUGUUUAUCAUGUUGAAAUAACACAAAAAUGUACAAUUCCAACUUUCCCAUCCCAACAUAUAUAGCUAAAAUAGAUUGAUAGAUAGAUUUUAAUUGGAGAUAAAUUAAACUGUGGCUUUAAAGGAUUCAUUGAGAGGACUUCCUGUAGUGUU